GACGAACGCUGGCGGCGUGCUUAACACAUGCAAGUCGAACGGAAAGGCCCUGCUUUUGUGGGGUGCUCGAGUGGCGAAAGGGUGAGUAACACGUGAGUAACCUGCCCUUGACUUUGGGAUAACUUCAGGAAACUGGGGCUAAUACCGGAUAGGCGCUCCUGCUGCCUUGUGGGGGUUGGAAAGUUUCGGCGGCUGGGGAUGGACUCGCGGCUUGACAGCUUGUUGGUGGGGUAGUGGCUUACCACGGCUUUGACGGGUAGACGGCCUGAGAGGGUGACCGGCCACAUUGGGACUGAGAUAGGGCCCAGACUCAUACGGGAGGCAGCAGUGGGGAAUAUUGCACAAUGGGCGGAAGUGUGAUGCAGCAACGCCGCGUGCGGGAUGACGGCCUACGGGGUGUAAACCGCUUUCGCCUGUGACGAAGCGAGAGUGACGGUAAUGGGUAAAGAAGCACCGGCUAACUACGUG
RNAcentral lists this ribosomal RNA (468 nucleotides) under uncultured bacterium. RNAcentral describes it as "partial 16S ribosomal RNA". It matches the Rfam family "Bacterial small subunit ribosomal RNA", at positions 28 to 507 of the family's 1533-position model. The record is from RNAcentral.